Passer domesticus (house sparrow) is the source of this 1320-nucleotide long non-coding RNA. RefSeq lists it as uncharacterized. The transcript has 2 exons. NCBI's taxonomy places the organism in Eukaryota, Metazoa, Chordata, Aves, Passeriformes, Passeridae. The record is from RefSeq and is a predicted model, not a curated record.
CUCACUUUGAUACCAGAAGGGUUAAUUCAGUUUUUACUGAAUUCACAUGCCUUGAUACUUUUAGCAGAGAAACAAGGCAUGUGAACACUGCUCCUCCAGCAAGGACAGUGGCAAGACACGAAGAAGAUAUGUGGAUCAAGAAUGCAGUGGUAGAUGGAACAAAGGACUUAUUCUCUGGGAGCAUGGGGUGGGAUUUAUGAGAAUGGAUAAAUUGUAAUACGUAUGUAGGGAGUGUAUAUAAGCAACACACGUUAAGUGUCCACAUAAGGUUAGGAGUAUUCCCUGCAGGGCCUUGGGCCUGAAGAAAGGAUGCUCUCUUUAACUUCAGUGUUAAGGAGCCUUUUUCUGAUAUUUUGGACAUUUGGUAAUAAAUUUAUGGAGCAACUAGGAGGCACUAUGAUCUGUUAUGUUGAAGUGCAGAGCUUGGAGAUGGCUGGUAGCAAAUGCUGUGCAGCAGAUGUAUUUUUACGAUUCUCCUGAGACAGGUGGCUCUCUGUGCUCUGGUGUGGCAGCAGAAGUCUGAUUUGCAGAAUGUUUUAAUAACUGUGCAGCAAACAAAUGCCUGUGGUUUGCCUGAGUGAGACUUGCUGUGGUGUGAGCUGGUGGGACAUUCAGAUGGGAAUGCCCCACUCUGGCUGUUCAGCUCUGUCUCCUGCAGACAGGCUGCCUCUGCCUGACGCUGCUCCUCCGUAUCAGAACAGAUAAAUCCAAAAUGGGAACCCUGGGAGGCGUUAACAGGGAGGUGCUCUGAGGAGGGGGCAGCACAUCCUGCCUUUGGAAGCCUGGCUGUACACAGGGUGCUUACACAAUACAGGCUUUCACUGCAUACAUAUGGUGUUACAACAGUGAGAAGGAUCACAGGAGCUAUCCUUCAGUGCUGCAGUUUUCAUAUUACCCUGAAGCUCCUGCUGCUGUUGCUUGUUGGGAUUCUGCUGGCACUUGGAAGUUCGGAAUGUGCUAGUGGUGAUUAUUCACCUCACUAUGGAUAUGCUUAAUGUAUGGGCAUGGUAUUGCAGGUGGCUGCCUAGUGGUCUUUUCUAAAUUUCAUUACCACUGUAAAGAACAGAAAACCUAUAAAGAAUCCUGGAAUACUCAUAGAGCAUCUCAUGUAAGUGAGAAGGCAUUUCUUUCCUCACAAACGUCUCCAGUAAAAUAUAACUUUGUUUUUAACAGAGACUGGCAGACUUUUGUGAGCUGUCCAAUGGCUCUUUGCUUUUGAACAGCCCACUGCAUUGAUCUUACUAAAACUUGUCCCUGACCUGCUGCUCAGGGAUAAAGAAAAAAUGGUUAUUUCUCUAUCAAUCCAAAUCUGACAAAGUA